GGAUAUGAGGGCGAUCUGGCUGCAACAUCUGUCACCCCGUUGAUCACCAGGGUCGAUUCGGCUGAUCUGGCUGGCUAGGCGCGCGUCCCCUUCCUCCCUCACCGCCCCACGUGCGUCCCUCCUGAAGCUGCGUGCCGCACUCCGUUGAAGAGGACGGCCUGCCCCGAAUCGAGGAGGACCGGGCUUCAGUCAGGGUAUAUGAGUAGCUGUGCUUCCCUGCUAGAACUGAGAGAGAGAGAGAGAGAGAGAUUGAGAGAGAAUGGGUGUGCCAGGGCCUCUUGCUACUGCAAAGGAACUCCAGACACAUGUGCCACUUUGUGCAUCUGGCUUUACGU
This 335-nucleotide small nuclear RNA is filed under the name Jaculus jaculus (lesser Egyptian jerboa). Its description in RNAcentral is "7SK RNA (ENSJJAG00000007341.1)". It matches the Rfam family "7SK RNA". Rfam says of the family: 7SK was discovered as an abundant small nuclear RNA in the mid-70s but a possible function has only recently been suggested. Two independent studies have found that 7SK RNA binds the CDK9/cyclin T complex (known as elongation factor P-TEFb). Lineage: Eukaryota; Metazoa; Chordata; Mammalia; Rodentia; Dipodidae. The record is from Rfam by way of RNAcentral.